RNAcentral lists this ribosomal RNA (772 nucleotides) under uncultured bacterium. Its description in RNAcentral is "bacterial SSU rRNA". It matches the Rfam family "Bacterial small subunit ribosomal RNA", at positions 56 to 877 of the family's 1533-position model. The record is from RNAcentral.
UGCNGUCGANCGAGAUCUUCGGAUCUAGUGGCGCACGGGUGAGUAACGCNNNNAAACCUGCCAUUCUGUACGGAAUAACGUUUGGAAACGAACGCUAAUACCGUAUACGCCCUGUGGGGGAAAGGUCCGCCGCAGAAUGAGGGGUCCGCGUCCGAUUAGCUUGUUGGUGGGGUAAUGGCCUACCAAGGCGACGAUCGGUAGCUGGUCUGANAGGAUGAUCAGCCACACUGGGACUGAGACACGGCCCAGACUCCUACGGGAGGCAGCAGUGGGGAAUAUUGGACAAUGGGGGCAACCCUGAUCCAGCAAUGCCGCGUGUGUGAUGAAGGCCUUAGGGUUGUAAAGCACUUUCAAUGGCGAAGAUGAUGACGGUAACCAUAGAAGAAGCCCCGGCUAACUUCGUGCCAGCAGCCGCGGUAAUACGAAGGGGGCGAGCGUUGUUCGGAAUUACUGGGCGUAAAGGGCGCGCAGGCGGCUAAUCCAGUCAGGUGUGAAGUCCCCGGGCUUAACCUGGGAACUGCACUUGAUACUGAUUAGCUAGAAAACGGAAGAGGAGAGUGGAAUUCCCAGUGUAGAGGUGAAAUUCGUAGAUNUUGGGAAGAACACCAGUGGCGAAAGCGGCUCUCUGGUCCNAUUUUGACGCUGAGGCGCGAAAGCGUGGGGAGCGAACAGGAUUAGAUACCCNGGUAGUCCACGCCGUAAACGAUGUUAACUAGUUGUCNGGGGGUUGCCCCUCGGUGACNCCGCUNACGCAUUAAGUUAACCGCCUGGG